AAAGUCCUUCAAUUGGAUGUUUUUCUACGAUUAUGGAUCUAGAGGAAAAAAUGUUGUUUUCACAUCAUUGUUUUAAUCCAAUGUUCAGCUUUCAUGCUAUAAGCUUUACUGCUUUAGACUGAACAUUCGUAUCAAUUGAAUCAAUGUGGCCUUACAUGUAGUGCCGAUACUGUUAAAUUUGUAGAUAUCCUAUUUUAUUCAGCAGUAACUUUAUUUUCUUUUCACUUCUUUUUUAUAAAUGUCAUGCUCAAUAGGUAAUGUCAUAGCAGCUGAAUUUCUUCAUAACUGGCAUAGGCAGUUAUCUUCUUAUGUGCUGUUAUUUCUAGAGCAAUUGUUUUGGAGACACGGGAGAAGACUUGGGGCGACGUAGCAAUGUGUGGGGCGGGCGGAGCAUCGGGAAAGGCCACAGCAACACCCGCGCUUUAAUCAAUUACGAUGGCCUCUGAUCGAACCAUACUAAGCAAGUGUAAAGGAAUUGACAAAGUGCAAAAUUGUUCAAAGAAAUAUGACUUGGGACGACGUAGCAGUGUGUGGGGCGGGCAGAGCGCCGGGAAAGGCCACAGCAACACCUACGCUUCAAUCGAUUACGAUGGCCUCUGACCGAACCAUACUAAGCCAAUGUAAAGGAAUUGACAAAGUGCAAAAGUGUUCAAAGAAAUAUGGCGGGUGGUCCUACUUCUCAAAAUAGAGGGAGAACUCAGUUGUGCCAUUUUAUCCAACUAUAUUCAAACAUGUGCCUUUUUUGUCAAAGACAAAGAAAAGUGUACUAUGAAAGGAAAUGUGUGCCAUUUUUAUCAAAUGCCUCCUAUCCCA
This is a long non-coding RNA of Triticum aestivum (bread wheat), 813 nucleotides long. RefSeq lists it as uncharacterized. The record is from RefSeq and is a predicted model, not a curated record. NCBI's taxonomy places the organism in Eukaryota, Viridiplantae, Streptophyta, Magnoliopsida, Poales, Poaceae. The transcript has 2 exons.